AACGAACGCUGGCGGCAGGCUUAACACAUGCAAGUCGAACGCCCCGCAAGGGGAGUGGCAGACGGGUGAGUAACGCGUGGGAACAUACCCUUUUCUACGGAAUAGCUCUGGGAAACUGGGAUUAAUACCGUAUACGCCCUACGGGGGAAAGAUUUAUCGGGGAAGGAUUGGCCCGCGUUGGAUUAGCUAGUUGGUGGGGUAAAGGCCUACCAAGGCGACGAUCCAUAGCUGGUCUGAGAGGAUGAUCAGCCACAUUGGGACUGAGACACGGCCCAAACUCCUACGGGAGGCAGCAGUGGGGAAUAUUGGACAAUGGGCGCAAGCCUGAUCCAGCCAUGCCGCGUGAGUGAUGAAGGCCUUAGGGUUGUAAAGCUCUUUCACCGAUGAAGAUAAUGACGGUAGUCGGAGAAGAAGCCCCGGCUAACUUCGUG
This 431-nucleotide ribosomal RNA is filed under the name uncultured bacterium. RNAcentral describes it as "partial 16S ribosomal RNA". It matches the Rfam family "Bacterial small subunit ribosomal RNA", at positions 29 to 507 of the family's 1533-position model. The record is from RNAcentral.